Molecule: ribosomal RNA, 500 nt
Filed under: uncultured Gammaproteobacteria bacterium
Lineage: Bacteria; Pseudomonadati; Pseudomonadota; Gammaproteobacteria
Description: bacterial SSU rRNA
Rfam family: Bacterial small subunit ribosomal RNA
Source: RNAcentral
AGAUUUGAUCCUGGCUCAGAUUGAACGCUGGCGGCAGGCCUAACACAUGCAAGUCGAGCGGAUGAUGGGAGCUUGCUCCUGGAUUCAGCGGCGGACGGGUGAGUAAUGCCUAGGAAUCUGCCUGGUAGUGGGGGACAACGUUUCGAAAGGAACGCUAAUACCGCAUACGUCCUACGGGAGAAAGCAGGGGACCUUCGGGCCUUGCGCUAUCAGAUGAGCCUAGGUCGGAUUAGCUUGUUGGUGAGGUAAUGGCUCACCAAGGCGACGAUCCGUAACUGGUCUGAGAGGAUGAUCAGUCACACUGGAACUGAGACACGGUCCAGACUCCUACGGGAGGCAGCAGUGGGGAAUAUUGGACAAUGGGCGAAAGCCUGAUCCAGCCAUGCCGCGUGUGUGAAGAAGGUCUUCGGAUUGUAAAGCACUUUAAGUUGGGAGGAAGGGUUGUAGAUUAAUACUCUGCAAUUUUGACGUUACCGACAGAAUAAGCACCGGCAANUUGC